AUAGCAUUAGCUCAUUUGGUAGAGCAUUGAACUCAUAAUUCAAGUGUAGUUAGUUCGAUUCUAACAUGUGUAUA
RNAcentral lists this transfer RNA (74 nucleotides) under Crassvirales sp. Its description in RNAcentral is "tRNA-Met". The stretch from base 5 to 68 matches the Rfam family "tRNA", at positions 5 to 66 of the family's 71-position model. Rfam says of the family: Transfer RNA (tRNA) molecules are approximately 80 nucleotides in length. Their secondary structure includes four short double-helical elements and three loops (D, anti-codon, and T loops). The record is from RNAcentral. Lineage: Duplodnaviria; Heunggongvirae; Uroviricota; Caudoviricetes; Crassvirales.